RNAcentral lists this non-coding RNA (27 nucleotides) under Cricetulus griseus (Chinese hamster). The record is from RNAcentral. Lineage: Eukaryota; Metazoa; Chordata; Mammalia; Rodentia; Cricetidae.
UCUUACAAUGGAACUACUGUUUUGGGC